AACGAACGCUGGCGGCAUGCCUAACACAUGCAAGUCGAACGAGACCUUCGGGUCUAGUGGCGCACGGGUGCGUAACGCGUGGGAACCUGCCUUUAGGUUCGGAAUAACUCAGAGAAAUUUGAGCUAAUACCGGAUGAUGUCUUCGGACCAAAGAUUUAUCGCCUUUAGAUGGGCCCGCGUUGGAUUAGCUAGUUGGUGGGGUAAAGGCCUACCAAGGCGACGAUCCAUAGCUGGUCUGAGAGGAUGAUCAGCCACACUGGGACUGAGACACGGCCCAGACUCCUACGGGAGGCAGCAGUGGGGAAUAUUGGACAAGGGGCGAAAGCCUGAGCCAGCAAUGCCGCGUGAGUGAUGAAGGCCUUAGGGUUGUAAAGCUCUUUUACCCGAGAUGAUAAUGACAGUAUCGGGAGAAUAAGCACCGGCUAACUCCGUG
Molecule: ribosomal RNA, 433 nt
Filed under: uncultured bacterium
Lineage: Bacteria
Description: partial 16S ribosomal RNA
Rfam family: Bacterial small subunit ribosomal RNA
Source: RNAcentral